Molecule: ribosomal RNA, 440 nt
Filed under: uncultured bacterium
Lineage: Bacteria
Description: partial 16S ribosomal RNA
Rfam family: Bacterial small subunit ribosomal RNA
Source: RNAcentral
CCUACGGGAGGCAGCAGUGGGGAAUAUUGCACAAUGGGGGAAACCCUGAUGUAGCGACGCCGCGUGAGUGAAGAAGUAUUUCGGUACGUAAAGCUCUAUCAGCAGGGAAGAAAAUGACGGUACCUGACUAAGAAGCCCCGGCUAACUACGUGCCAGCAGCCGCGGUAAUACGUAGGGGGCAAGCGUUAUCCGGAUUUACUGGGUGUAAAGGGAGCGUAGGCGGCAGCGCAAGUCUGGAGUGAAAUCCCAUGGCUUAACCAUGGAACUGCUUUGGAAACUGUGCAGCUAGAGUGCAGGAGAGGUAAGCGGAAUUCCUAGUGUAGCGGUGAAAUGCGUAGAUAUUAGGAGGAACACCAGUGGCGAAGGCGGCUUACUGGACUGUAACUGACGUUGAGGCUCGAAAGCGUGGGGAGCAAACAGGAUUAGAUACCCCGGUAGUC